This 567-nucleotide ribosomal RNA is filed under the name uncultured archaeon. RNAcentral's name for it is "bacterial SSU rRNA". It matches the Rfam family "Archaeal small subunit ribosomal RNA", at positions 312 to 879 of the family's 1478-position model. The record is from RNAcentral.
CGCGAAUCGCCCUUCGGGGUGCACCAGGCGCGAAAACUUUACAAUGCCGGCAACGGCGAUAAGGGAACCUCGAGUGCCAGGUUACAAAUCUGGCUGUCGUGAUGCCUAAAAAGCAUUGCAUAGCAAGGGCCGGGCAAGACCGGUGCCAGCCGCCGCGGUAACACCGACGGCUCGAGUGGUAACCGUUAUUAUUGGGUCUAAAGGGUCUGUAGCCGGCCGGGUAAGUCUCUUGGGAAAUCUGGCAGCUUAACUGUCAGGCUUUCAGGAGAUACUGCCUGGCUCGAGGCCGGGAGAGGUGAGAGGUACUUCAGGGGUAGGGGUGAAAUCUUGUAAUCCUUGAAGGACCACCAGUGGCGAAGGCGUCUCACCAGAACGGACCUGACGGCAAGGGACGAAAGCUAGGGGCACGAACCGGAUUAGAUACCCGGGUAGUCCUAGCCGUAAACGAUACUCGCUAGGUGUCGGCCACGGUGCGACCGUGGUCGGUGCCGUAGGGAAGCCGUGAAGCGAGCCACCUGGGAAGUACGGCCGCAAGGCUGAAACUUAAAGGAAUUGGCGGGGGAGCAC